RNAcentral lists this ribosomal RNA (451 nucleotides) under uncultured bacterium. RNAcentral describes it as "bacterial SSU rRNA". It matches the Rfam family "Bacterial small subunit ribosomal RNA", at positions 354 to 796 of the family's 1533-position model. The record is from RNAcentral.
GUGGGGAAUUUUGGACAAUGGGGGCAACCCUGAUCCAGCAAUGCCGCGUGUGUGAAGAAGGCCUUCGGGUUGUAAAGCACUUUUGUCCGGAAAGAAAACUUCGUCCCUAAUAUGGAUGGAGGAUGACGGUACCGGAAGAAUAAGCACCGGCUAACUACGUGCCAGCAGCCGCGGUAAUACGUAGGGUGCGAGCGUUAAUCGGAAUUACUGGGCGUAAAGCGUGCGCAGGCGGUUUGUUAAGACCGAUGUGAAAUCCCCGGGCUCAACCUGGGAACUGCAUUGGUGACUGGCAAGCUUUGAGUAUGGCAGAGGGGGGUAGAAUUCCACGUGUAGCAGUGAAAUGCGUAGAGAUGUGGAGGAAUACCGAUGGCGAAGGCAGCCCCCUGGGCCAAUACUGACGCUCAUGCACGAAAGCGUGGGGAGCAAACAGGAUUAGAAACCCCAGUAGUCC